RNAcentral lists this ribosomal RNA (497 nucleotides) under uncultured bacterium. RNAcentral describes it as "partial 16S ribosomal RNA". It matches the Rfam family "Bacterial small subunit ribosomal RNA", at positions 28 to 507 of the family's 1533-position model. The record is from RNAcentral.
GAUGGACGCUGGCGGCGUGCCUAAUACAUGCAAGUCGAGCGAACGGACGAGAAGCUUGCUUCUCUGAUGUUAGCGGCGGACGGGUGAGUAACACGUGGAUAACCUACCUAUAAGACUGGGAUAACUUCGGGAAACCGGAGCUAAUACCGGAUAAUAUUUUGAACCGCAUGGUUCAAAAGUGAAAGACGGUCUUGCUGUCACUUAUAGAUGGAUCCGCGCUGCAUUAGCUAGUUGGUAAGGUAACGGCUUACCAAGGCAACGAUGCAUAGCCGACCUGAGAGGGUGAUCGGCCACACUGGAACUGAGACACGGUCCAGACUCCUACGGGAGGCAGCAGUAGGGAAUCUUCCGCAAUGGGCGAAAGCCUGACGGAGCAACGCCGCGUGAGUGAUGAAGGUCGUCGGAUCGUAAAACUCUGUUAUUAGGGAAGAACAUAUGUGUAAGUAACUGUGCACAGCUUGACGGUACCUAAUCAGAAAGCCACGGCUAACUACGUG